Molecule: ribosomal RNA, 1304 nt
Filed under: uncultured bacterium
Lineage: Bacteria
Description: bacterial SSU rRNA
Rfam family: Bacterial small subunit ribosomal RNA
Source: RNAcentral
ACGAACGAGAGAGAAGGAGCUUGCUUCUUCGAUCGAGUGGCGAACGGGUGAGUAACGCGUGAGGAACCUGCCUCAAAGAGGGGGACAACAGUUGGAAACGACUGCUAAUACCGCAUAAGCCCACGGGUCGGCAUCGAUCUGAGGGAAAAGGAGCAAUCCGCUUUGAGAUGGCCUCGCGUCCGAUUAGCUAGUUGGUGGGGUAACGGCCCACCAAGGCGACGAUCGGUAGCCGGACUGAGAGGUUGAACGGCCACAUUGGGACUGAGACACGGCCCAGACUCCUACGGGAGGCAGCAGUGGGGAAUAUUGCACAAUGGGGGAAACCCUGAUGCAGCGACGCCGCGUGGAGGAAGAAGGUCUUCGGGUUGUAAACUCCUGUUGUUGAGGAAGAUAAUGACGGUACUCAACAAGGAAGUGACGGCUAACUACGUGCCAGCAGCCGCGGUAAAACGUAGGUCACAAGCGUUGUCCGGAAUUACUGGGUGUAAAGGGAGCGCAGGCGGGAAGACAAGUUGGAAGUGAAAUCUAUGGGCUCAACCCAUAAACUGCUUUCAAAACUGUUUUUCUUGAGUAGUGCAGAGGUAGGCGGAAUUCCCGGUGUAGCGGUGGAAUGCGUAGAUAUCGGGAGGAACACCAGUGGCGAAGGCGGCCUACUGGGCACCAACUGACGCUGAGGCUCGAAAGUGUGGGUAGCAAACAGGAUUAGAUACCCUGGUAGUCCACACCGUAAACGAUGAUUACUAGGUGUUGGAGGAUUGACCCCUUCAGUGCCGCAGUUAACACAAUAAGUAAUCCACCUGGGGAGUACGACCGCAAGGUUGAAACUCAAAGGAAUUGACGGGGGCCCGCACAAGCAGUGGAGUAUGUGGUUUAAUUCGACGCAACGCGAAGAACCUUACCAAGUCUUGACAUCCCUUGACGAACAUAGAAAUAUGUUUUCUCUUCGGAGCAAGGAGACAGGUGGUGCAUGGUUGUCGUCAGCUCGUGUCGUGAGAUGUUGGGUUAAGUCCCGCAACGAGCGCAACCCUUAUGGUCAGUUACUACGCAAGAGGACUCUGGCCAGACUGCCGUUGACAAAACGGAGGAAGGUGGGGAUGACGUCAAAUCAUCAUGCCCUUUAUGACUUGGGCUACACACGUACUACAAUGGCGUUAAACAAAGAGAAGCAAGACCGCGAGGUGGAGCAAAACUCAGAAACAACGUCCCAGUUCGGACUGCAGGCUGCAACUCGCCUGCACGAAGUCGGAAUUGCUAGUAAUCGUGGAUCAGCAUGCCACGGUGAAUACGUUCCCGGGCCUUGCACA